GGGUUGUAAACUUCUUUUAUAUUAGAAUAAAGUGCAGUAUGUAUACUGUUUUGUAUGUAUAAUAUGAAUAAGGAUCGGCUAACUCCGCGCCAGCAGCCGCGGUAAUACGGAGGAUCCGAGCGUUAUCCGGAUUUAUUGGGUUUAAAGGGAGCGUAGGUGGGCUGGUAAGUCAGUUGUGAAAGUUUGCGGCUCAACCGUAAAAUUGCAGUUGAUACUGUCAGUCUUGAGUACAGUAGAGGUGGGCGGAAUUCGUGGUGUAGCGGUGAAAUGCUUAGAUAUCACGAAGAACUCCGAUUGCGAAGGCAGCUCACUGGACUGCAACUGACACUGAUGCUCGAAAGUGUGGGUAUCAAACAGGAUUAGAUACCCUGGUAGUCCACACAGUAAA
RNAcentral lists this ribosomal RNA (388 nucleotides) under uncultured bacterium. RNAcentral's name for it is "bacterial SSU rRNA". It matches the Rfam family "Bacterial small subunit ribosomal RNA", at positions 420 to 806 of the family's 1533-position model. The record is from RNAcentral.